AUGAAAUGCCCGACAUCUUUCAUUACCACCACAUCGUCCAGUAAUGGAACAAACUUCUUGAGGCCACCUUUGUUAAUAAAAUCAUGUGCGCCUGCAACAUGGUAUGACAAGUCCACAUCACCAACUAUAAACUUGGUUGGUACCUUUAUCUCAGCUCCGGUCCAUGGCGACGUGAGUUCCCAUGUCCUAAACAUAGACCAGUUAUGGUUGUUAGACCAAAACAUCGUGUGUCCAACUGUCCUAGCAAUCCUUCUCUACAAACAUACAUAUGUUUGGGAAAUCUAUGGUAAUUACAUUUAUACAUUGUUGGUUUUAUAA
Molecule: ribosomal RNA, 318 nt
Filed under: Triticum aestivum (bread wheat)
Lineage: Eukaryota; Viridiplantae; Streptophyta; Magnoliopsida; Poales; Poaceae
Description: partial small subunit ribosomal RNA
Source: RNAcentral